This 301-nucleotide ribosomal RNA is filed under the name uncultured bacterium. Its description in RNAcentral is "partial 16S ribosomal RNA". It matches the Rfam family "Bacterial small subunit ribosomal RNA", at positions 509 to 807 of the family's 1533-position model. The record is from RNAcentral.
CAGUAGCCGCGGUAAUACGUAGGGUGCAAGCGUUAAUCGGAAUUACUGGGCGUAAAGCGUGCGCAGGCGGUCCGCUAAGACAGCUGUGAAAUCCCCGGGCUCAACCUGGGACCUGCAUUCGUGACUGUAUAGCUAGAGUACGGUAGAGGGGGAUGGAAUUCCGCGUGUAGCAGUGAAAUGCGUAGAUAUGCGGAGGAACACCGAUGGCGAAGGCAAUCCCCUGGACCUGUACUGACGCUCAUGCACGAAAGCGUGGGGAGCAAACAGGAUUAGAUACCCCCGUAGUCCCUGUCUCUUAUAC